GUAGGGGGCAAGCGUUGUCCGGAUUUAUUGGGCGUAAAGCGCGUGUAGGCGGCCAGGUAGGUCGGCUGUGAAAACUCGAGGCUCAACCUCGAGAUGUCGGCCGAAACCAUCUGGCUAGAGUCCGGAAGAGGAGAGUGGAAUUCCCGGUGUAGCGGUGAAAUGCGCAGAUAUCGGGAAGAACACCCGUGGCGAAGGCGGCUCUCUGGGACGGUACUGACGCUGAGACGCGAAAGCGUGGGGAGCGAACAGGAUUAGAUACCCUGGUAGUCCACGCCGUAAACGAUGGGAACUAGGUGUGGGCGGUGUCGACUCCGUCCGUGCCGAAGCUAACGCAUUAAGUUCCCCGCCUGGGGAGUACGGCCGCAAGGCUAAA
Molecule: ribosomal RNA, 373 nt
Filed under: uncultured bacterium
Lineage: Bacteria
Description: bacterial SSU rRNA
Rfam family: Bacterial small subunit ribosomal RNA
Source: RNAcentral